UGGUAAUGCCGGAUGCUCCGGUUGGAUGCAUGUCCUUCCGGGAAAGGUUCCAUCGGUAUGGGAUGGGGUCGCGUCCUAUCAGCUUGAUGGCGGGGUAACGGCCCACCAUGGCUUCGACGGGUAGCCGGCCUGAGAGGGCGACCGGCCACAUUGGGACUGAGAUACGGCCCAGACUCCUACGGGAGGCAGCAGUGGGGAAUAUUGCACAAUGGGCGCAAGCCUGAUGCAGCGACGCCGCGUGCGGGAUGGAGGCCUUCGGGUUGUAAACCGCUUUUGAUCGGGAGCAAGCCCUUCGGGGUGAGUGUACCUUUCGAAUAAGCACCGGCUAACUACGUGCCAGCAGCCGCGGUAAUACGUAGGGUGCAAGCGUUAUCCGGAAUUAUUGGGCGUAAAGGGCUCGUAGGCGGUUCGUCGCGUCCGGUGUGAAAGCCCAUCGCUUAACGGUGGGUCUGCGCCGGGUACGGGCGGGCUGGAGUGCGGUAGGGGAGACUGGAAUUCCCGGUGUAACGGUGGAAUGUGUAGAUAUCGGGA
Molecule: ribosomal RNA, 531 nt
Filed under: Bifidobacterium dentium
Lineage: Bacteria; Bacillati; Actinomycetota; Actinomycetes; Bifidobacteriales; Bifidobacteriaceae
Description: bacterial SSU rRNA
Rfam family: Bacterial small subunit ribosomal RNA
Source: RNAcentral